UACGUAGGCAGCGAGCGUUGUUCGGAAUUACUGGGCGUAAAGAGCGUGUAGGCGGUCAGGUAGGUCCGUUGUGAAAACUCGAGCUCAACCUCGAGACGCCGAUGGAAACCAUCUGACUAGAGUCCGAAAGAGGAGAGUGGAAUUCCUGGUGUAGCGGUGAAAUGCGCAGAUAUCAGGAAGAACACCCGUGGCUAAGGCGGCUCUCUAGUACGGUACUGACGCUGAGACGCGAAAGCGUGGGGAGCGAACAGG
Molecule: ribosomal RNA, 252 nt
Filed under: uncultured bacterium
Lineage: Bacteria
Description: partial 16S ribosomal RNA
Rfam family: Bacterial small subunit ribosomal RNA
Source: RNAcentral